GGGGGGGGGGGGGGGGGCACGCGUCGUCAGCCUGUGAGUGGACUUUGCCAGGCCUGCCACCCGCCGGCCGAAUCCUAACCAGGCCCGAGCGCAGCCUGCAGCCGGGACUCUGGCCCUGCACGCCAGAAACCGAUACCCAGAGGAGGUGCCUUUCUCAGGCAAGGGUUAGGCCGGACUGAGAAAAACCUCCAAUCGGAGGAGAAUGAAUUACGCUCGGUUCAUCACCGCCACGAGCGCGGCCAGAAAGCCUUCUACCAUCCGAGUCAUGACUGAAAUAUUGAGCAAGGCACCGAAAUCUGUCAUCUCCUUGGCAACUGGGGCACCAAACCCCAACACGUUCCCUUUCAAGACUGCGGUCAUCACUAUAGAAAACGGAAAACCCAUCCAAUUUAAUGAACAGAUGAUGAAGAGAGCACUGCAGUAUUCUCAGAGUGCUGGAAUCCCAGAGCUGUUAUCCUGGCUAAAACAGUUACAAGUAAAAUUGCAUAAUCCGCCCACCAUCCAUUAUGCACCCAGCCAAGGACAGAUGGACAUAUGUGUCACGUGUGGCAGCCAAGAAGGUCUCUGUAAGGUGUUUGAAAUGAUCGUUAAUCCUGGAGAUAAUAUCCUUGUAAAUGAACCUAUUUAUUCAGGAACAAUUCAUGCUCUGCAACCCCUGGGCUGCAACAUGAUUAAUGUUUCCAGUGAUGAGCACGGGAUUAUUCCAGACUCCCUCAGAGAAAUACUUUCCAAAUGGAAACCAGAAGAUUCAAAGAACCCCGAGAAAAACAGCCCCAAAUUUAUUUACACUGUCCCAAAUGGCAACAACCCUGCUGGGAACUCAUUAACAGCUGAGCGCAAAAGGGAAAUCUAUGAGCUCGCAAGAAAAUAUGAUUUUCUCAUCAUAGAAGAUGAUCCUUACUAUUUUAUGCAGUUCAACAAGCCCUGGGCACCGACAUUUCUCUCCAUGGACGUGGAUGGGCGUGUCAUCCGAGCUGACUCUUUUUCCAAAGUCCUGUCCUCGGGGUUGAGAAUAGGGUUUAUAACUGGUCCAAAGCCCUUGAUUGAGAGAAUUGUUUUACACAUACAAGUUUCAACAAUGCACCCCAGCACUUUUGCUCAGCUCCUGGUAUCACAGCUUCUAUACCAAUGGGGAGAAGAGGGCUUCCUGGGUCACGUAGACAGGGUUAUUGAUUUCUACAGGAAGCAGAGGGAUGCAUUAAUGGCAGCAGCAGACAAGUGGUUAAGUGGUUUGGCAGAAUGGCAUGUUCCUACUGCAGGAAUGUUUCUAUGGGUUAAAAUUAAGGGCAUUCAUGAUGUAAGAAAACUGAUUGAAGAAAAAGCCUUUAAGAAAGAGAUCCAUGAUGACUGCACACUGCAGAGGGCAUGGUGGGUCACACAGGAGACGUUCAGGGGCCAGGCUGAGAAGGAGUACCAAGGCGUCCCCUCUCCUGGCUGGGAUUCAAGCACUCAGCCACAGGCAUCUAGAAGAGGCUGGCAACAGUGUUCUCAUGGCCGGGAAGCAGCGGACAUGCGCUUUAGGGCAGCGAGCUGCCAGCCACAGAGGUCACCAGAUAUUCAUGCUUCCGGGAUGUGGUUUCUACAUUGAUAGUUCAGCUCCUUGCCCCUACUUCAGAGCAUCCUUCUCUUCAGCUUCUCCAGAACAGAUGGACUUGGCCUUUCAGAGACUGGCCCAACUUAUAAAAGAAUCUUUAUGAAGAAAUCAAAGUUUUCAUAGCACUCAUGGAUUUCAGAUAAAUUAUUUCUGUAUUUCAGCAAGAAGAAACAAUCAUUGGUGCUAGAUUUACAGACAGGGUUUCACUAAAUAUGUCAUGCCUGUAGUAAUUUAACUACACAGCUUUCAAAGUGCCCUUGAACCCAUCAGAUCUCCAAAAUAUAAUUCAUCCAUACCUUUUGAUAAAUAUUCAACCCACACAGUUAAUUUUAUCCUGGGUUUUAUUGUAAAGAACUCUGUAUUCACUUUAUAAUUUCCCAUAAAUCUUCUUUGAAACUGA
This is an RNA transcript of Bubalus bubalis (water buffalo), 1994 nucleotides long. It is a transcript of the gene named kynurenine/alpha-aminoadipate aminotransferase, mitochondrial, with no coding region annotated. The record is from RefSeq and is a predicted model, not a curated record. Lineage: Eukaryota; Metazoa; Chordata; Mammalia; Artiodactyla; Bovidae. The transcript has 14 exons.